Molecule: ribosomal RNA, 185 nt
Filed under: uncultured bacterium
Lineage: Bacteria
Description: partial 16S ribosomal RNA
Rfam family: Bacterial small subunit ribosomal RNA
Source: RNAcentral
CUAUAUGAAGUCGGAAUUGCUAGUAAUCGCGGAUCAGCAUGCCGCGGUGAAUACGUUCCCGGGCCUUGUACACACCGCCCGUCACACCAUGAGAGUCGAUAACACCCGAAGCCUGUAGUCUAACCAUAUGGGGGACGCAGUCGAAGGUGGGAUUGAUAAUUAGGGUGAAGUCGUAACAAGGUACC